CUUGACUCAAAUUCUAUUUUUAGUUCCCGAUGAAGUGUUUAUAUUUUCAUACUUGAUUGAUGAUUACAAAGAUGUCUCCCUUUGUUUCUCUGUUGCAUAACUUGUAUAGUUAGAUUUUUUUUAAGUAUCUAGUUAAUGUCAGGCAUGGAUUCUGUUGAUUAUGGCCAGCUAGACAAUUCUUUGCUUACUUUGUAUAAACAAGCCUCUCUUAUCAAACUAUUCUCUUUUUCUUGGAUCUCUUUUUUAUUUGCAGGGAGAAGAUUUGAAGGAGAUUGAUAGUCUGAAAGACAGGAUAACAAAACUCCAAUUGAGACAAAUGAGGAUGCUGGGUAAAGAUUUAUCAAACUUGAGCUUGAAAGAAGUGCAGCAGCAGGAAAAGCAACUCAGUGAAAGCCUACUGUCUGUAAAAGCUAAGAAGGACCAAUUGCUGAUGGAACAACCCGAGCAUUCACGCAGGCAGGUACUUCACAGUAUUUAUAUGACUAAAUAGUUAUAAUUUUUGUUUGAUGUAUGUUGUUGGUCUUGUGACAUGGUACUAUGUGUUUUACCUAAGACUAAAGAUGCAGUUUUUACCUA
Spinacia oleracea (spinach) is the source of this 576-nucleotide long non-coding RNA. RefSeq lists it as uncharacterized. The transcript has 3 exons. NCBI's taxonomy places the organism in Eukaryota, Viridiplantae, Streptophyta, Magnoliopsida, Caryophyllales, Amaranthaceae. The record is from RefSeq and is a predicted model, not a curated record.